GUUUAGGUAGUUUAACUUAAAAUUAAAGAUUGUGAUUCUUUGGAUGUGGCUGAUGCUGCCCUGGACA
This 67-nucleotide transfer RNA is filed under the name Antrokoreana gracilipes. Its description in RNAcentral is "tRNA-His". Lineage: Eukaryota; Metazoa; Arthropoda; Diplopoda; Julida; Nemasomatidae. The record is from RNAcentral.